Long non-coding RNA from Schistocerca gregaria, 2424 nucleotides. RefSeq lists it as uncharacterized. Lineage: Eukaryota; Metazoa; Arthropoda; Insecta; Orthoptera; Acrididae. The record is from RefSeq and is a predicted model, not a curated record. The transcript has 3 exons.
AUGUGCUUUUCGCGCCGUCUUACUUCACCGGGCGCGGCGCCCUCGCCGCCGCAGCUGAUCUCACGCCACAGUCGGAUUGGUGCUGGCCCGGCGCUGCUGUAGCGGCGGCGGCGGCCUGUGGUCGUGUGGUUUGUACACCGCAGUGUGGCGCCAACACCGACUCAGAGGAAGGCCUCGGCGCUUGUUGGUGACGUCACGUCAGCUAGGCACGGCGAACGCCAGGCGGCGUGGCGCCCCCUGCGGACUGCCUGCGGGGUUGUGUUGGGGUGUGUAUGACGUCACAUCCGCCGGCCCUUUCCGGCCGCACUUCCGGCUCGUCCGUUCCUGGAAGAGCGGCGGGCAGCCAGCAGCUAACUGGCUGGAUCCUCCAUCUCCAGCGUCUGCAGCCGGCGCGGCCCACUGACACACUAACCGGAAGCGGCGGCGGCGGCACAGGUCGACACAUGGAACAACAGCCGGGAAGAAAAAGCCGCUGGAGUCGAAUCAACGGGAACGUCUGGAGGUGCAGUCUUCGUAGCAGAAUGGCAGUGUGGGAUUCCCGCGAUGAAAGUCUCACAGUUGGCGAUUCUCAUCUCGUCACCUGCGGUCAUUUAAUGCGGGCUGCCAACUCCGUUGCAACGUCCAGCAAAAAGUUCUGUUUCAUUACAGCCAUGUAACACCACGAUAUUAACGCGCGUUAAACAGGCCCGUUCAGGUACAGUAAUCGCCAAAAGUGACCAGCUACAGGGCUGGGUGAUUAAUGUUGCUAGUUCAUGGGUGUGUUAAAAAACUGAACAGUACCGAACUGACCUGCACCCCCUGUAGAACCUCCAUGUGUCCCUCUCCCCUCACGACCCCCUAAAACCUUUCUCCAGUUUUUCUACACAGAUUUAGGAAAUUUUAUAAGUAUGUUCAAUAAAUAAAACAUCAACGAUCACACAUUUGGCGCUUACAGCAAACCUACCGCUACAGAUAACGUUAAAAAAGCCAACUCCUGCACCCGAAAUCACAAAUGCAUGCAUACUUCCAUUCAAUGAUCCACAGAUUAAUCGAUUUACCAGUAGAAGGACCAGAAAUGCAAAAAACUUGAAAUACUAUACUCCGUUAUAUAGCCCACAAAAAUGAUUUUGACCAACAUAUAAUAACAGAAGUAUAUAAAAUAUAUCCGCAACCCAAACACAACGCGGUACACAACGAAAUAUAUCUAACUAGAGAAAUCUCAAUUCAACAAAGAACAAUGUAUGUACUUAAAGUUUACCUAGGACAAAUACCGAACAAGAUAAUUCACUAUUCAAAACCACGCGCAUCCAUCUGGCCUUCUGUACUAAUAUCUCGUUACAGAACUGCAUUCAGGCAAAGGCAAAAUCUUAGAAUAUACAUAUCCUGGAAAAUACAAAAUAACUUGUGACAGUUGGAAUAGUUUCUAUAUCGGCCAAAGGGAACGCAAUUUCAGUAUCAGAUUCAAGGAACACACUAGAAACAGUGACAGUAAAAAAUCUUGUUUCUUUUUGCAUCUAAAACACCAACACCACACAGCCGAGAAAACUGAAAAAACAUUACAAAUACUACACAGAAUACCGAUAGGACCCACUAUGAACAUACUUGAAGAAUUAGUGAUAUCUAUACACACUAAAGACUAUCUGGACGAAAUACUAAAAGAAUACACAGACAACAAAACAUACUCAGACCAAAGAUACAAUUCACAGCAAAAACCAGUCACUGAAAUACAAUAUAAAAUGGCCGUACUCUUUGCUACGAAAAGCCAAUAAAAUUAAUUAAAAUUUAAAAUUAUCAUUGCUUGGUUAUCUACACUUUGUAAAUAUAUAGCAUCAGAGUGAACGAACUGUCAAAUAUGUGUCAGACCGUACUUUUUAGUAAACGAACUAUGAAAUAAGUGACAAAAGUUCUUGCAUACAUUUAUAAUUAUUACACGUUAAGUAAUCUCUACGAAUUAGAUAAUGACAGAUUUACUGUAGGUGCAAUAUAGACUUUAAAUCAAACUAGACGUAAAAACCAGUGUACUCUUACAAUGUAUAAUUACUCAUAUGGACAGCCACCAUAUGUGCAGAUAAUUUCACCAUCGUUCGAUUCGCAGUUUACUUGAGAGUGGCAAUAAAGCCGAAACAGCUGUCGUAAUAAAGAAUAUUAUACUUAUUUAUGCUAGUCUGGACCUUUACUUUUCAGAAUGUCAUAAUGUGCUCUGUGCUGAGGGCCUCAUAAAACGAAAAACAUUACCCAUUAUUAAAAAAUGUUACUUACGUGAACUACAUUAAUGAAAAUUAUUCAACAAAUGAUAUGUUCUAUUUUAGUAAUAGCAAAUCGCAUAAACUUUGUAAGUAAAUUGAAAGUAAAACGGAAUCCAUGUCAUCUUCUUUGCGUCAGCUACUGUAUAUCGAUUUUGGAAUUAUGUAUAAUAAAGAACAGAUUUUGUUCGCACCUCAUAAA